This 253-nucleotide ribosomal RNA is filed under the name uncultured bacterium. RNAcentral's name for it is "partial 16S ribosomal RNA". It matches the Rfam family "Bacterial small subunit ribosomal RNA", at positions 524 to 776 of the family's 1533-position model. The record is from RNAcentral.
UACGUAGGAGGCGAGCGUUGUCCGGAGUUACUGGGCGUAAAGCGCACGCAGGCGGUCUUGUCAGUCUCAGGUGACAGUCCCCGGCUUAACUGGGGAAGUGCGUCUGAUACUGGAUGGCUUGAGGUUGGGAGAGGGAUGCGGAAUUCCAGGUGUAGCGGUGAAAUGCGUAGAUAUCUGGAGGAACACCGGUGGCGAAGGCGGCAUCCUGGACCAAUUCUGACGCUGAGGAGCGAAAGCCAGGGGAGCAAACGGG